This is a long non-coding RNA of Acanthopagrus latus (yellowfin seabream), 888 nucleotides long. RefSeq lists it as uncharacterized. Lineage: Eukaryota; Metazoa; Chordata; Actinopteri; Spariformes; Sparidae. The transcript is spliced from 2 exons. The record is from RefSeq and is a predicted model, not a curated record.
GCGUGCGUGUAGCAUGUGCAGAGGUGUGUGUCCGCGUGCCUCUGCUGUGCGCGGUGGUGUGACGGUCGCUCCGUUUACAGACAAGUUGCAGCCGGUCGCCUCAUCGUCCCACAGCGCGCCUCAGUGUGCCGCCUCCGGAGCGAACAGGAGGACGAUGAUGCAAAAGCAACGUGUGUGAGGAGAAAUGGACGACGUGAUGGAUGGACGGAUGGAUGGAAAGAGUGAGGAGAGGAGGCUCAUCUGGACUCUCUUAAGGCAACAGAUCUCCCAUCGCUGCAGGUUACAGGCAGGGAUGGAGAGCACGGACAGUCACGCACGCAGUCACGCAAAAGAAACAGUCGCUCUGUAAACUCGCACGCUAUAAUAUCAACUAAACGCCUCGGGGAGGGGCCGUGCAUCUUAGGUCUGACAGCCACGCACACAUCAAUAAAUAGCCGCAUCAUUCCCAGACGCAUGCACACAAACACAAAUAAAUAGCUCGCAAACAGCGUAAACGAAGACACAGAGUGGUGACGUGGAACGAGACGCACGUGGAACUGAGUGAUGAUGUUCAUAUAUAUAAAACAAAAGAAUACGACUUUAGAUGUGUUAAUGAGACUUAAAUGUUUGUACAGGAUGAAAGAAGUGACUUUUUUUGUUUUGUUUCCCUUUUCUUGGUCUCACUCUUCAUCACAUCAGCCAUCAUCUUCCUCUCCUGGACCGGGUUGCACCAGCUGUUUGUAGAUCCCUCCUUAUGUUUCUGUUCGGGGGGCCAGAACAACGUUUCUGCUUCCUUUACUGUUUCAUCGCUCAGUUAACGUUCAGCUGUUUCCGGAGUCGUGUUCAGUUACCGCUGAUGAAAAACCAACAUUUCCCGAUGUUGCUUUUUUUUUUUUUUUUUUUUUUAAA